Molecule: ribosomal RNA, 433 nt
Filed under: uncultured bacterium
Lineage: Bacteria
Description: partial 16S ribosomal RNA
Rfam family: Bacterial small subunit ribosomal RNA
Source: RNAcentral
AACGAACGCUGGCGGCAUGCCUAACACAUGCAAGUCGAACGAGACCUUCGGGUCUAGUGGCGCACGGGUGCGUAACGCGUGGGAACCUGCCCUUAGGUUCGGAAUAACUCCCCGAAAGGGGUGCUAAUACCGGAUAAUGUCUUCGGACCAAAGGUUUAUCGCCUUUGGAUGGGCCCGCGUUGGAUUAGCUAGUUGGUAGGGUAAAAGCCUACCAAGGCGACGAUCCAUAGCUGGUCUGAGAGGAUGAUCAGCCACACUGGGACUGAGACACGGCCCAGACUCCUACGGGAGGCAGCAGUGGGGAAUAUUGGACAAUGGGCGAAAGCCUGAUCCAGCAAUGCCGCGUGAGUGAUGAAGGCCUUAGGGUUGUAAAGCUCUUUUACACGGGAUGAUAAUGACAUUACCGGGAGAAUAAGCACCGGCUAACUCCGUG